AGCGAACGCUGGCGGCAGGCUUAACACAUGCAAGUCGAGCGGGCACUUUCGGGUGUCAGCGGCGGACGGGUGAGUAACGCGUGGGAACGUGCCCUCUGGUUCGGAAUAACUCAGGGAAACUUGAGCUAAUACCGGAUACGCCCUUUUGGGGAAAGGCUUGCUGCCGGAGGAUCGGCCCGCGUCUGAUUAGCUAGUUGGUGAGGUAACGGCUCACCAAGGCGACGAUCAGUAGCUGGUCUGAGAGGAUGAUCGGCCACACUGGGACUGAGACACGGCCCAGACUCCUACGGGAGGCAGCAGUGGGGAAUAUUGGACAAUGGGCGCAAGCCUGAUCCAGCCAUGCCGCGUGAGUGAUGAAGGCCUUAGGGUUGUAAAGCUCUUUUAUCCGGGACGAUAAUGACGGUACCGGAGGAAUAAGCCCCGGCUAACUUCGUG
This 435-nucleotide ribosomal RNA is filed under the name uncultured bacterium. Its description in RNAcentral is "partial 16S ribosomal RNA". It matches the Rfam family "Bacterial small subunit ribosomal RNA", at positions 29 to 507 of the family's 1533-position model. The record is from RNAcentral.